UCUUAGACUCAAGGAGAGAAAAGAAAAGAACCCUUCUAUUGGAAGCCCACUGGGCCUGACCACAGCUUCCCCACCCACUCUCUGGUCACAUGGGUCUUACCCUUAGUUGAGCUGUGCUGGGGUCCCUGCCAGCUGCUUGCCAGAGGUUCAGCUGAAACAAGGCUUCUCUGUGUCUCCCCAGCCUCCUAUUCCUCCAGGAUUUCUGAGGCUCACUGUUUUCCUGUGCCCCUCCCCACACUCAUGCUUUCUCCCAUUCAAUGCUCCCUGUUGCCAUUCCUCUUCCUUCCUCCCAUUCUCUCUCUGUCUCUCUCUGUCUCUCUUUCUGUCUCUCUCUGUCUCUGUCUCUGUCUCUGUCUCUCUCUCUCUGUCUUUCUUUUUCUCUUUCUCUCUUUCUGCUUCUGUGUGCGUGUCUCUCUCUCUCUCUCUCCCUUUCUCUCUCCUCUCCCUCUCCCUCUCUUUGUCCUUCUCAACAUUUCUUCCUUGUCCAGUCUGGCUCUGGCCCUAAGGCCCAGCUUCUCUCCCUGGCACUGACAUCCUCCCAGGGUCUCUGCCUCCUUCCACGGUCUGUCUUAGGAUGUGUGCCUGGCUGAUGGAAGCCCAGGUGUGGUGUGGCCCCGUGGCCGGCCGGAUCGCCUGCUGUCUAACGCUCUGCCCAUGUCCUGUGAAGAGAGCUUCUGGAAACAAGUGAAGAUUUCUAGAAAUCCCUUCUAUCAAUUUUCCCGUGGGUGCUGAAAGACAGAAGAGCGAGCACAUGGUCAACUGGACCGCAACGGACAACGCAGUCUCCAGUUCACCUCAGCUUUCACUGAAUGUUGAAAACGCCCUCUAACAGUGAAAGCUAAGUAUGGGGCAGGCUAGCGAUCUCAUCCCUCCAGAAGUUGAAGAAGGGGGUUCCGAGUUUGAGACCAACCUCGGCAACACAAUGAGAGUCUGUCUGAAAACGAAUUAAGUUUUUAAAUAAUGGACUUGUACACACCUUCAAUCCCAGCACUGGAGAGGCAGAGGCAGAAGGAUCCCUGUGAGUUUGAUGCCAUCCUGUCUACAUAGUGAGUUCCAGGACCACCAGGAUAACCUGUCUCAAAACAAACAAAAAUGGAUUUGUUAUGCAAAUCCUUUGCAGCCCUGCAAAGGAAUCUGUACACUUUUUGUAAAAGUGACAACGUGUGCUAGGGAAAGUGGUCGAGAUGCAUAAGAGCCCGUUCUUUUUUUUUUUUUUUUUUUUUGGUUCUUUUUUUCGGAGCUGGGGACUGAACCCAGGACCUUGCGCUUCCUAGGUAAGCGCUCUACCACUGAGCUAAAUCCCCAGCCCCAAGAGCCCAUUCUUAAAAAAAACGAUAUUGGCGUCAGCCCACCUGGGGGUGUAUGUCUGUGUGUGUGUAUAUGUGAGAUACAUAUAAGUUUCUGAGAUAUAAACAUUAGAUGCAUGUACACAUAAAUCUAUGUAGAUCAAGUAUGCACGUGUGCAGAUCUGAGUGCAUGUUUGUGUACUACACAGAAAAUGAGAAAACGCUCUGCUGUUAAAGACACCCAAAAUGGUGGAAACGGUUAUUACUGCCUAGGAGAAUUCCAGGCAUCACUUAUUUUAUUCUUUAUAGAUUCAUGGGUUGUCUGAAAAAUUUUAGAUGUGCAUAAAUUGCCUUCUCAAUUUUUUUUGUAGCAUCUGUAACUGACCUCAAGCUUACAGAGAUCUCCUUCUCCCCACCCCCAGUGCCAGGAUUAAAGUCAUUUAUUGCCACACCCAAUCUUGCACCUUUUUGGUUGUGAGCCUAGCCUUUAAUGGCUGAGCCAUCUCUCCAGCCCAUCUUGCACCUUUUUGAAGUAAGACAUUUUCGGCAUACAAAGCAUAUUGACAAUGAAAUGAACUAGCAUGAGACUGUCAACUAGCAUACAACACAGGUAGCUUUGGUUAAGAGAAGAAUUGUGCCAAUUAUUCCAACAAAUGCUGUUCCUUACACUUCCAACGAUAUGGAGAUGUGCAAAAUAUUCUCGACUUCACCAAGAUUUUUGUUGAAUUGCAAAAAAAAAAAAAAGAAUUCAAGUUCUUAAAAAUGUAUUGUGAGGAAAUCAGAACUAUAUUCUAUCUAUUUGGACGGGUCUUUGAUAUAAGCACAUAGGUUAUGAUCUGGGAGAUGGACAGAUUGGUAGAGUGCUCUCUGUGCACCGAGUUCAAGCCCUAGAACUGUACAGAAGAGUCAGGGGUGGUGGCUCUGGCCCUUGUGGUCUUAGCUCCAGGGAGGUAGAGACAUGUGGCCUGCCCUACUUGGUGAGUUACAGAGCAGUGACAGACUUGGUCUCAAAAAAGUCCCAGGUAAAUGGUUCCUGAGGAAUGAUGCUUGAAGUUGUUCUGUCUCCAUGUGUACAUGAACACACACAUGCACGUGCGCACACACACGUGUGCAUGUACACACACACACACACAUCACCACAAUUCAACAAACAGUAUUUCAUUUUAAUAAGUGGGGGCGGGGGAGACUAAUUAAGAAAUCACAGGAGCAAAAGCGUCUCUCUCUGAGAAUAAAUGACAGAGGAGAAUCCAUUCCUAACAAGGCGUUUAUAUCAUCCCUGCCAAGACUCAAGAAACAUUUCAGAAGAGGGGGCGGAAAGAAUGUAAAAGCCAAAUGCUAGGGAGAACGGCUGUGAAAUACAGAACACAGAGCCACUGUGGGUACCUGGAGGUCAGCACAAGAAAGGGCAGGCAGGCGUGGAUGGAGGAGGGGCUUGCGAGGCCCCGCCCCUCGCUGCUGAACUGUUUCCUAGGGAAAGAUUCGGGGUGAGGGGGAGUCCUUGCUUACCCAAGGAAGACCCAACCAGGCUCCCAUGGAUUGCUCCCAUCCACGGCUCACAGAAAUGACCCGGGUUAAAUGAAGCGGGUCACAACACAAAAUCAGAAAUCAUGACCUGGGAAAGGGAGGGGGCGGUGACGACAGGAAUGGAAGGGAGAUGAGAGGGUGUGGGGGGAGAAAGUCAUCAGAUUACAUUAUAGAGAAGCAUGACAUCGACAGAACACAAAUUUGAUAAGAAAUGACAAAAAGCGGCAAUCUGUAAGAAAAUGGGAUCGGAUCCUAGCCUCAUAGCACACAUACAAUUUAAACUCAAAUAGGAAAUAGCCCAAGGCAGGAACCGGAGGCAGGAGCGGAAGCAGAGACCAUGGAGGGAUGCUGCUUCCUGGCUUUGUUCCUUUGUGCUCAAGUACCUUUCUUACGCAGACGGGAUGCCUGUGGAUGGCACUGCCCUCAGCGGGCUGAACCUUCCCAUAUCAACUAACAGUUGAUAGGAUGCCUCAUUGGCCUGGCGACAGGCCAGCCUGAACUGGACAAUUCUUCAGCUGAGGUUCCCUCUUCCAGAUGACUUGAGGGUCGCGUCACGUGGACAGUUGGGGCUAACUAUGACAUGCAUCCAUUUCUUUGCUUAUGUUUUCUUUGUAAUCAUUCAUUGCUAGCAGACUUCCUUCAUGUCCUUGACAACAGCCUUAAAAUAUUUGCCUCUUAAUUCUAAGGUGUGGGUCACCUUGAGGUUCAGCUCCACUGAUAACCGUUCCUAUUGCAUAUGAAUUACAUUAUCUCAUAUCGUCAUACAUCUAAUAGCUUUGGAAUGUGAGUUGGUCACCGUCCCUUAUUGGUACUAUAUUGUUUUGGGGAGGGAAUGUACUACAUAAAACUUAAUUUUGGAAAUUCA
This is a long non-coding RNA of Rattus norvegicus (Norway rat), 3675 nucleotides long. RefSeq lists it as uncharacterized. The record is from RefSeq and is a predicted model, not a curated record. Lineage: Eukaryota; Metazoa; Chordata; Mammalia; Rodentia; Muridae.